CUGGCGGCGUGCUUAACACAUGCAAGUUCAACGAUGAAGCUCUAGCUUUGCUAGGUGGAUUAUCGGCGAACGGGUUGAGUAAUACGUCGAGUCGACCUACCUUUGACUCUGGGAUAAGCCUGGGAAACUGGGUCUAAUACCGGAUACGACCAAUCUCCGCAUGGGGUGUUGGUGGAAAGCGUUAUGGAGUGGUUUUAGAUGGGCUCGCGGCCUAUCAGCUUGUUGGUGAGGUAAUGGCUUACCAAGGCGACGACGGGUAGCCGGCCUGAGAGGGUGACCGGCCACACUGGGACUGAGACACGGCCCAGACUCCUACGGGAGACAGCAGUGGGGAAUAUUGCACAAUGGGCGCAAGCCUGAUGCAGCGACGCCGCGUGAGGGAUGACGGCCUUCGGGUUGUAAACCUCUGUUAGCAUCGAAGAAGCGAAAGUGACGGUAGGUGCAGAGAAAGCGCCGGCUAACUACGUGCCAGCAGCCGCGGUAAUACGUAGGGCGCGAGCGUUGUCCGGAAUUAUUGGGCGUAAAGAGCUUGUAGGCGGUUGGUCGCGUCUGCUGUGAAAGGCUGGGGCUUAACCCUGGUUUUGCAGUGGGUACGGGCUAACUAGAGUGCAGUAGGGGAGACUGGAAUUCCUGGUGUAGCGGUGGAAUGCGCAGAUAUCAGGAGGAACACCGAUGGCGAAGGCAGGUCUCUGGGCUGUAACUGACGCUGAGAAGCGAAAGCAUGGGGAGCGAACAGGAUUAGAUACCCUGGUAGUCCAUGCCGUAAACGUUGGGCACUANGUUGUGGGGGACAUUCCACGUUUUCCGCGCCGUAGCUAACGCAUUAAGUGCCCCGCCUGGGGAGUACGGCCGCAAGGCUUAAACUCAAAGAAAUUGACGGGGGCCGCACAAGCGGGCGGAGCAUGCGGAUUAAUUCGAUGCAACGCGAAGAACCUUACCAAGGCUUGACAUAUACUGGACUGCGUCAGAGAUGGCGUUUCCCUUCGGGGCUGGUAUACAGUGGGUGCAUGGUUGUCGUCAGCUCGUGUCGUGAGAUGUNGGGUUAAGUCCCGCAACGAGCGCAACCCUCGUUCUAUGUUGCCAGCACGUGAUGGUGGGGACUCAUAGGAGACUGCCGGGGUCAACUCGGAGGAAGGUGGGGAUGACGUCAAUNCAUCAUGCCCCUUAUGUCUUGGGGCUUCACGCAUGCUACAAUGGCCGAGCCAGGAGGGUGGGGUUAUUGUGAGUUGGAGUUAUUCCUUAAAGGCGGUUUUCAGUUGGGAUGGGGUUUGGCAAUUGGACCCCAGGAGUUGGGUGUGGUUGUUAUUGGAGAUUAGGAACGGUGCCGGAGAUUAGUUUCCGGGCCUUUACACACACCGCCGUUAAGGGGGAAAUUGGUUAACACGCGCAGGAUAUGUCC
Molecule: ribosomal RNA, 1399 nt
Filed under: uncultured bacterium
Lineage: Bacteria
Description: bacterial SSU rRNA
Rfam family: Bacterial small subunit ribosomal RNA
Source: RNAcentral